Molecule: ribosomal RNA, 227 nt
Filed under: uncultured bacterium
Lineage: Bacteria
Description: partial 16S ribosomal RNA
Rfam family: Bacterial small subunit ribosomal RNA
Source: RNAcentral
UUUAGUGGCGGACGGGUGAGUAACGCGUGAGAAUCUGCCUUUAGGACGGGGACAACAGUUGGAAACGGCUGCUAAAACCCGAUGUGCCCUUUGGGGUGAAAUAUUUAUAGCCUGAAGAUGAGCUCGCGUCUGAUUAGCUAGUUGGUGGGGUAAGAGCCUACCAAGGCGACGAUCAGUAACUGGUCUGAGAGGAUGACCAGUCACACUGGGACUGAGACACGGCCCAG